GAUGAACGCUAGCUACAGGCUAACACAUGCAAGUCGAGGGGAAAAGGCAUUGAGUGCUUGCACUCUUUGGACGUCGACCGGCGCACGGGUGAGUAACGCGUAUCCAACCUUCCCAUUACUGUGGGAUACCCCGCCGAAAGGCAGACUAAUACCACAUAGUCUUCGAUGACGGCAUCAGAUUUGAAGUAAAGAUUUAUCGGUAAUGGAUGGGGAUGCGUCUGAUUAGCUUGUUGGCGGGGUAACGGCCCACCAAGGCGACGAUCAGUAGGGGUUCUGAGAGGAAGGUCCCCCACAUUGGAACUGAGACACGGUCCAAACUCCUACGGGAGGCAGCAGUGAGGAAUAUUGGUCAAUGGACGGAAGUCUGAACCAGCCAAGUAGCGUGCAGGAUGACGGCCCUAUGGGUUGUAAACUGCUUUUGUAUGGGGAUAAAGUUAGGGACGUGUCCCUAUUUGCAGGUACCAUACGAAUAAGGACCGGCUAAUUCCGUGCCAGCAGCCGCGGUAAUACGGAAGGUCCAGGCGUUAUCCGGAUUUAUUGGGUUUAAAGGGAGCGUAGGCUGGAGAUUAAGUGUGUUGUGAAAUGUAGACGCUCAACGUCUGACUUGCAGCGCAUACUGGUUUCCUUGAGUACGCACAACGUUGGCGGAAUUCGUCGUGUAGCGGUGAAAUGCUUAGAUAUGACGAAGAACUCCGAUUGCGAAGGCAGCUGACGGGAGCGCAACUGACGCUUAAGCUCGAAGGUGCGGGUAUCAAACAGG
This 760-nucleotide ribosomal RNA is filed under the name Prevotella melaninogenica. RNAcentral's name for it is "bacterial SSU rRNA". It matches the Rfam family "Bacterial small subunit ribosomal RNA", at positions 28 to 776 of the family's 1533-position model. Lineage: Bacteria; Pseudomonadati; Bacteroidota; Bacteroidia; Bacteroidales; Prevotellaceae. The record is from RNAcentral.